Long non-coding RNA from Rhipicephalus sanguineus (brown dog tick), 212 nucleotides. RefSeq lists it as uncharacterized. Lineage: Eukaryota; Metazoa; Arthropoda; Arachnida; Ixodida; Ixodidae. The transcript has 2 exons. The record is from RefSeq and is a predicted model, not a curated record.
AACCAAGAGGAUGUAUGGGUAUUAUGCGGUUGGAACUAAUUGCACCCAUAUGGGCGAUAAAUGACAAAAUCGCACUGUUGCAACAUGCAAGAAACACGGAACAAAAGUUGUGUGCCGCGAAGCAGUACCUGCUGUACUGGCCUGCUAAUAGGAUAUAUGAAGUUAUUGCUACCUUCUACGGAUAUGCAAAAAUAAAAGGGAGUUUUAUCAAA